GGAGCACUAAAUCCAAGCACCAGCCCACCCUUGCCCAUGGCCUUGAGUGGCUGGCUGGUGGCAGGCUUAGGCAGCAGGCCUUGAUUGCCAUUUCAUCAUUUCUGCCCAACCUCCCACAGGCAGGAUUUGCACCCAGAUGUGCCAGGAGUCCCCGAGGUGAGCAGCAAGUAUUCAGCUCUGGACAGAAGCCAGCUGAUGGCGGGCUUCCUACUUACUGGCGAAACUCACUUCAUCUUUAUGAGUCUAAUUCUCCUCGUCUAUGGAAUGGAUGUGGAAAUAGCUGCUUUUCAGAGAUGUGGUGAAGGUCAAAUGAAGUAGGAAGAAAACACACAAUCAUCCUUCAGUAUCUUGGGGAGUGGUCCCCGGGCCACAUGGACACCCAUAUCUGAGCUUGCUCAACCCCUUUAUAUAAAACGGUGUAGUGUUUGCUUACACUGCCCCCCCCCCCCACCGCCCCGAUUCUAACAAAUCUCUAGAUGACUUAUCGUAACUAAUACAACGUCAGUGCUAUGUAAAGAGUGUGUAUUGUUGGAGGCCAUAAUGAUAAGAAAACAAACUCUGGACAUGUUCAGAUACCACACCAUACCUGCAGAUGUCAAUUUUUUCUUUUUCUUUGGCAGUGCUGGGCUGGACCCAGGAUCUCGUGUGUGCUAGUAAGGCCUCCAUCACCGAGCCCCAGAUCACUGGUUUUCUUUUCUGAAUAUUUA
RNAcentral lists this long non-coding RNA (707 nucleotides) under Marmota monax (woodchuck). The record is from RNAcentral. Lineage: Eukaryota; Metazoa; Chordata; Mammalia; Rodentia; Sciuridae.